This 253-nucleotide ribosomal RNA is filed under the name uncultured bacterium. RNAcentral describes it as "partial 16S ribosomal RNA". It matches the Rfam family "Bacterial small subunit ribosomal RNA", at positions 524 to 776 of the family's 1533-position model. The record is from RNAcentral.
UACGUAGGGUGCGAGCGUUAAUCGGAAUUACUGGGCGUAAAGCGUGCGCAGGCGGCGCACUAAGACAGGUGUGAAAUCCCCGGGCUUAACCUGGGAAUGGCGCUUGUGACUGGUGUGCUCGAGUGCGGCAGAGGGGGGUGGAAUUCCACGUGUAGCAGUGAAAUGCGUAGAGAUGUGGAGGAACACCGAUGGCGAAGGCAGCCCCCUGGGUCGACACUGACGCUCAUGCACGAAAGCGUGGGGAGCAAACAGG